RNAcentral lists this ribosomal RNA (837 nucleotides) under uncultured archaeon. RNAcentral's name for it is "bacterial SSU rRNA". It matches the Rfam family "Archaeal small subunit ribosomal RNA", at positions 1 to 844 of the family's 1478-position model. The record is from RNAcentral.
UUCCGGUUGAUCCUGCCGGACCUGACUGCUAUCGGAUUGAUACUAAGCCAUGCGAGUCAUUGUAGCAAUACAAGGCAGACGGCUCAGUAACGCGUAGUCAACCUACCCUAUGGACGGGGAUAACCUCGGGAAACUGAGAAUAAUACCAGAUAGAACAUUAUGCCUGGAAUGGUUUAUGUUUCAAAUAAUUUAUUGCCGUAGGAUGGGACUGCGGCCUAUCAGUUUGUUGGUGAGGUAAUGGCCCACCAAGACUAUUACAGGUACGGGCUCUGAGAGGAGUAGCCCGGAGAUGGGUACUGAGACACGGACCCAGGCCCUAUGGGGCGCAGCAGGCGAGAAAACUUUGCAAUGUGCGAAAGCACGACAAGGUUAAUCCGAGUGGUUUCUGCUAAAGGAACCUUUUGUUUGUCAUAGAACCACUAAUGAAUAAGGGGUGGGCAAGUUCUGGUGUCAGCCGCCGCGGUAAAACCAGCACCUCAAGUGGUCAGGAUGAUUAUUGGGCCUAAAGCAUCCGUAGCCGGCUUUGUUAGUUUUCGGUUAAAUCCAUACGCUCAACGUAUGGGCUGCCGGGAAUACUGCAAGGCUAGGGAGUGGGAGAGGUAGACGGUACUCGGUAGGAAGGGGUAAAAUCCUUUGAUCUAUUGAUGACCACCUGUGGCGAAGGCGGUCUACCAGAACACGUCCGACGGUGAGGGAUGAAAGCUGGGGGGAGCAAACCGGAUUAGAUACCCGGGUAGUCCCAGCUGUAAACUAUGCAAACUCGGUGAUGCAUUGGCUUGAUGCCAAUGCAGUGCCGCAGGGAAGCCGUUAAGUUUGCCGCCUGGGAAGUACGUACGC